Molecule: transfer RNA, 73 nt
Filed under: Coemansia sp. Benny D115
Lineage: Eukaryota; Fungi; Kickxellomycota; Kickxellomycetes; Kickxellales; Kickxellaceae
Description: tRNA-Lys
Rfam family: tRNA
About the family: Transfer RNA (tRNA) molecules are approximately 80 nucleotides in length.
Source: RNAcentral
GGGAGUAUAACUUAAUUGGUAGAGUAACAGAUUUUUAAUCUGCAUCAUUUGGGUUCAAGUCCCAAUACUCUCA